Molecule: ribosomal RNA, 253 nt
Filed under: uncultured bacterium
Lineage: Bacteria
Description: partial 16S ribosomal RNA
Rfam family: Bacterial small subunit ribosomal RNA
Source: RNAcentral
UACGUAGGGUGCAAGCGUUGUCCGGAAUUAUUGGGCGUAAAGAGUUCGUAGGCGGUUUGUCGCGUCCGUUGUGAAAACUUGGAGCUUAACCCCAAGCCUGCUUCCGAUACGGGCGGACUAGAGGUAGGCAGGGGAGAACGGAAUUCCUGGUGUAGCGGUGAAAUGCGUAGAUAUCUGGAGGAAUACCGGUGGCGAAGGCGGCAUCCUGGACCGACAUUGACGCUGAGGAGCGAAAGCUAGGGGAGCAAACGGG